AUGGAUCCUCAUUUGAGCGCUGUCGUCCUUUACUUCCUGGCUGGUCUUGUUGCGGAGCUAAAAGGCGAGCGAGCAAAGAUAUCGGACGGGGAUUCGCUUGAUAUGGACUGUGAUUUGAAUAAGUUAAGCACUGAAGAGCUGAGAAGUUAUGGAGACAUCUUAUACUUGCGUUUGGCAAAGGCAGAAGGUGCGACAGAGGUUGUUGGUUUUCUCAGGGAGCAUUUUAAAGGACGCAAGGAGGCCCUUACUUUGGCUGACGUAAGAUACGCUUUUGCCGAGUUGUCAAACAAAUUCAUCGACCCAGCAUUAAAAACAAGAGAUCGGUUGAAUGCUUUGAACGCCCUCUGGAUGCAACGAGUCAAUGCUACCAACACUACGCCAAAAUAAGUCAUGUAGAUGUGUCAAACAAGAACCGAAUAAUUGUGAAGUGGAAAGUCCGGAUAGUGCCGCUCCAAAAAACAAUGGUAAGUCUCGAGCAAAAAUACUUACCGCACUGUUUGUUUGUUUCAUAAUUUUUCGAAAUCACAGAAAAUUUAAAGUGAUUGUUCUUGGAAAAGUGUCCACAAGUCAGUCUUUGAGCGAGUGCACCACGGAGGGAUGAAAAAUUGUCUGAAAUUUCAAACAGACCGGAGUUAUGGUUAUUUGACAUUAGGACCUAUUUAUGUCCCGGACGUAAGUACACUUUAAGUGUGAUUUUUUGACCCCCUCCCCGCAACCCCAAAUAGGUUGAAAGACAUGUGACGGGUGGCGGGAAAGCCAUACGGUAUGACUGGAGUUAAUUCAAACACACACGACAGGUGUGCCGAGCCGAAAAUCAAUAGGCGGUUAUAGUCGAGAGAGAACGCGGGGAAAAGCUUAGAUUCAACGAGGAAAGUUCUCCAUCUCCCCCCGCCCCCCACUUUCUCAGCCGCCGCUAAGCCCGGUCGACUCUUACUAUACCACGCCUUCCAAUUUUCUUGGCUUGACAACACCAUAACAAGGCGCCCGCCCUUCGGCUGUCCCAUCCCUCCCUCUGAUGCCGUAUCUUGGAAUUUUCAUCCCUUAAUGUUCUGCACAUUUUCCAAAUAGCUUUUAUCAUGAUUCUAGUAAAUUGUUUUCUCCUAUCUCCGAAUCAGCCCGUCACUUGUUGUUGCAUCGAGGAAGCCAAUAAUUGAAUCAGUGAGGAUGAAAACGCACCAACUCGGAAAGAUGUAAAUUUCUGAGGCACAAAAAACUUCAUCUGCGGGCUCAUUGUUAAAUUGAUAGACAAAGCUAUAGACAAAGAGGAUAAAAAGGAAUAGACCGUAUUCGAUAGUGGUUCGAUGUAUCGUUUGGUUCAAAACAAUAGAACAUAACCUCAAACCAAACCAUCAGGAUGUAAGUUGAAAAAGCUGAAAAUGAGAAAAUUCCGAACAAUUUCACUUUGCAUCGGCAUUUGGUACUCAAAAGAAUAAAAAAUCUAUUUCAAAAGACCCGUUCCCUCAGAUUUCUGAAUUGACUCUUGAGGCUAUGUUUAUGUUUUGAACCAAUCGAUAUCGAUACAAUCUCACCCGUUUGAUGUGUCGAAUACAAUCUAUAUGAAGGUGGGAGAGGGCGGUUGCAAUGGACAUAGGAGGUAGGUAAUAGACUAACUAACGGCAACUCACGAGAGACCCUAUAAUUAGUCCAUCAUUUAGCUCCCUAGUCUAUAAGAACUACCCAUUUCAACCAAUAGCAUCGCUCUUUACUCCCUAUGUCUUUUAUGACCAUCGCUUUGUCUAUCAGUUUCAAAAAUCAGCCCGCAGCAGCUGAAGAAGUUUUUUGAUUGUUGCACUGAAUAAGAC
RNAcentral lists this long non-coding RNA (1802 nucleotides) under Bemisia tabaci. Its description in RNAcentral is "lncRNA ENSSSA1UGG011472". Lineage: Eukaryota; Metazoa; Arthropoda; Insecta; Hemiptera; Aleyrodidae. The record is from RNAcentral.